RNAcentral lists this ribosomal RNA (376 nucleotides) under uncultured bacterium. RNAcentral describes it as "bacterial SSU rRNA". It matches the Rfam family "Bacterial small subunit ribosomal RNA", at positions 524 to 898 of the family's 1533-position model. The record is from RNAcentral.
UACGGGGGGGGCAAGCGUUGUUCGGAAUUACUGGGCGUAAAGGGUUCGUAGGUGGCCAACUAAGUCAGACGUGAAAUCCCUCAGCUUAACUGGGGAACUGCGUCUGAGACUGGAUGGCUUGAGUGCAGGAGAGGAACGCGGAAUUCCAGGUGUAGCGGUGAAAUGCGUAGAUAUCUGGAGGAACACCGGUGGCGAAGGCGGCGUUCUGGACUGCUACUGACACUGAGGAACGAAAGCCAGGGGAGCAAACGGGAUUAGAUACCCCGGUAGUCCUGGCCCUAAACGAUGAAUGCUUGGUGUGGCGGGUAUCGAUCCCUGCCGUGCCGCAGUUAACGCGUUAAGCAUUCCGCCUGGGGAGUACGGUCGCAAGGCUGAA